This 284-nucleotide unclassified non-coding RNA is filed under the name Mucor circinelloides. Its description in RNAcentral is "partial internal transcribed spacer region". The stretch from base 1 to 46 matches the Rfam family "Eukaryotic small subunit ribosomal RNA", at positions 1786 to 1831 of the family's 1831-position model. Lineage: Eukaryota; Fungi; Mucoromycota; Mucoromycetes; Mucorales; Mucoraceae. The record is from RNAcentral.
AAGUCGUAACAAGGUUUCUGUAGGUGAACCUGCGGAAGGAUCAUUAAAUAAUCAAUAAUUUUGGCUCGUCCAUUAUUAUCUAUUUACUGUGAACUGUAUUAUUACUUGACGCUUGAGGGAUGCUCCACUGCUAUAAGGAUAGGCGGUAGAGAUGUUAACCGAGUCAUAGUCAAGCUUAGGCUUGGUAUCCUAUUAUUAUUUACCAAAAGAAUUCAGAAUUAAUAUUGUAACAUAGACCUAAAAAAUCUAUAAAACAACUUUUAACAACGGAUCUCUUGGUUCUC